RNAcentral lists this unclassified non-coding RNA (383 nucleotides) under uncultured soil eukaryote. RNAcentral's name for it is "sequence contains 5.8S rRNA gene, ITS2, 28S rRNA gene". The record is from RNAcentral.
AACGCAUAUUGCACUCGCUGGCCCGUGCGCCGGCGAGUAUGCCUGACUGAGUAUAGGCAACACACAUACCUCGUGGCGAUGUGGCCGCCCCCAAUGUAAGGGGGGCAGCGCAGCGCAUACCACGGAUCAUGGUCCAUGCGGGGGUGAGCACAGUUGUACGAUUGUGUGCACCGCCGCUGCGACUAGAAAGCAUGGCGUUUUAGCCGCCGGCCACCGCACGACUCGCUCGUGUCGGCCUGUGCAAAGCCGCGAACCGAUGGAUAGCCAGCUCCGUAACACGGUCCCGCACGCACAGUGCCGCCGAGUCGCGCGCGCGUGCCGCCGGCAGCGCCCACUCCAUACUCACUUAUCUCAGGUCAGGCAAGACUACCCGCUGAACUUAA